UUUAUUGGAGAGUUUGAUCUUGGCUCAGGACGAACGCUGGCGGCGUGCCUAAUACAUGCAAGUCGAGCGCAGGAAGCUUUUCCGAUCCCUUCGGGGAGAGGAGAAGUGGAAUGAGCGGCGGACGGGUGAGUAACACGUGGGCAACCUACCUGUAAGAUCGGGAUAACUCGCGGAAACGUGAGCUAAU
RNAcentral lists this ribosomal RNA (187 nucleotides) under Oceanobacillus chungangensis. RNAcentral describes it as "partial 16S ribosomal RNA". It matches the Rfam family "Bacterial small subunit ribosomal RNA", at positions 1 to 167 of the family's 1533-position model. Lineage: Bacteria; Bacillati; Bacillota; Bacilli; Caryophanales; Bacillaceae. The record is from RNAcentral.